GACGAACGCUGGCGGCGUGCUUAACACAUGCAAGUCGAACGGAAAGGCCUGCUUUCCCUUGUGGAUUGCGGGUACUCGAGUGGCGAACGGGUGAGUAACACGUGAGUGAUCUGCCCCCAACUUGGGUAUAGGCCUGGGAAACUGGGUCUAAUUCCCGAUAGGACUGCAGGGUGGUGCCUGUGGUGGAAAACGAUUUUCUAGUGGUUGGGGAUGAGCUCGCGGCCUAUCAGCUUGUUGGUGGGGUAAUGGCCUACCAAGGCGGCGACUGGUAGCCGGCCUGGGAGGGUGGACGGCGACAUUGGGAACGGGCUACGGCCCAGAAGCAGGCAGGAGGCGGCAGUCGGGAAUAUUGCGCGAUGGGUGGACGGAUGAAGCAGGGGCGAGGGAUGGGGGAUGACGGCCUUCAGGUUGUAAACUCCUGUCGAGAGCGAGUAAGUAAGCUGGUUGGAGGGUGGUGACGGUAGUGGUAGAAGAAGCAACGGCUAACUACGUG
This 493-nucleotide ribosomal RNA is filed under the name uncultured bacterium. RNAcentral describes it as "partial 16S ribosomal RNA". It matches the Rfam family "Bacterial small subunit ribosomal RNA", at positions 28 to 507 of the family's 1533-position model. The record is from RNAcentral.